This 433-nucleotide ribosomal RNA is filed under the name uncultured bacterium. RNAcentral's name for it is "partial 16S ribosomal RNA". It matches the Rfam family "Bacterial small subunit ribosomal RNA", at positions 29 to 507 of the family's 1533-position model. The record is from RNAcentral.
AACGAACGCUGGCGGCAUGCCUAACACAUGCAAGUCGAACGAGACCUUCCGGUCUAGUGGCGCACGGGUGCGUAACGCGUGGGAACCUGCCCUUAGGUUCGGAAUAACUCCCCGAAAGGGGUGCUAAUACCGGAUAAUGUCUUCGGACCAAAGAUUUAUCGCCUUUGGAUGGGCCCGCGUUGGAUUAGCGAGUUGGUAGGGUAAAAGCCUACCAAGGCGACGAUCCAUAGCUGGUCUGAGAGGAUGAUCAGCCACACUGGGACUGAGACACGGCCCAGACUGGGACGGGAGGGAGCAGUGGGGAAUAUUAGAGAAGGGGCGAAAGCCUGAUCCAGCAAUGCCGGGUGAGUGAGGAAGGGGUUAGGGUUGUAAAGCUCUUUUAGACGGGAUGAUAAUGACAGUACCGGGAGAAGAAGCACCGGCUAACUCCGUG